GAUGAACGCUGGCGGCGUGCCUAAUACAUGCAAGUCGAACGAGGUGCUUUUGUAGCAAUACGAGAGUAUCCUAGUGGCGAACGGGUGAGUAACGCGCUGGUGACCUACCCCAAAGUGUGGGAUAACAGUCCGAAAGGAUUGCUAAUACCGCAUGUGGUCUUCGGGUUUAGAAACUGAUGACUAAAGGAGCAAUUCGCUUUGGGAGGGACCUGCGUCCCAUCAGCUAGUUGGUGAGGUAAUGGCUCACCAAGGCUACGACGGGUAGGGGACCUGAGAGGGUGACCCCCCACAAUGGAACUGAAACACGGUCCAUACGCCUACGGGUGGCAGCAGUAGGGAAUAUUGCACAAUGGGCGAAAGCCUGAUGCAGCAACGCCGCGUGUGCGAUGAAGGCCUUCGGGUCGUUAAAGGCACUUUUCUGGGAGAUGAGCAAGGACAGUAUCUCAGGAAUAAGUCUCGGCUAACUACGUGCCAGCAG
Molecule: ribosomal RNA, 478 nt
Filed under: uncultured bacterium
Lineage: Bacteria
Description: bacterial SSU rRNA
Rfam family: Bacterial small subunit ribosomal RNA
Source: RNAcentral